Long non-coding RNA from Gallus gallus (chicken), 452 nucleotides. RefSeq lists it as uncharacterized. Lineage: Eukaryota; Metazoa; Chordata; Aves; Galliformes; Phasianidae. The record is from RefSeq and is a predicted model, not a curated record. The transcript is spliced from 2 exons.
ACCUAUGACUCACAACACCAAACCCAUAUGACAUCACUGAGGAUAAUCCUCAGUGCGAGCUUAACAAGUUAGAAGCAAUGAGGCAGUUAAUAAUGUUGUAGACAGAUGUAGCUGUAGGAAUAUAAAGUUCAACUUCUCUACAAACUUGACCAAGGAAGCAGAAAUAAAAAGGGCAAAUCCAAGAUGGUGCCUUCCACGCAUUGCUCUGAAGGCAGUCUUCUGAUGACCCAAACCAAAGACAAGUGCUUGUGAAAUACGCUGGUGAAACAACAGGAGCUGCUCAAAUGCAAUAUCCUGUGUUCUUAACGACAACACGUUAUUUGGAAGGGUCAACAUUGACUCUCACUGAACAGCUCUUUAAUAUGACCCACUCCUUCACAUCGCUGACCAGUCACCUCACUAGUCAAAGAAAAGAAAACCAUGCCCAGUAAUAGCUCAUACAUUUUUUUUUU